CACGUAGGGUGCGAGCGUUGUCCGGAAUUAUUGGGCGUAAAGAGCUCGUAGGCGGUGUGUCGCGUCGGCCGUGAAAACCUGCAGCUUAACUGUGGGCUUGCGGUCGGUACGGGCAUCACUGGAGUUCGGCAGGGGAGACUGGAAUUCCUGGUGUAGCGGUGAAAUGCGCAGAUAUCAGGAGGAACACCGGUGGCGAAGGCGGGUCUCUGGGCCGAUACUGACGCUGAGACGCGAAAGCAUGGGGAGCAAACAGG
Molecule: ribosomal RNA, 254 nt
Filed under: uncultured bacterium
Lineage: Bacteria
Description: partial 16S ribosomal RNA
Rfam family: Bacterial small subunit ribosomal RNA
Source: RNAcentral